Molecule: ribosomal RNA, 229 nt
Filed under: uncultured bacterium
Lineage: Bacteria
Description: partial 16S ribosomal RNA
Rfam family: Bacterial small subunit ribosomal RNA
Source: RNAcentral
UCCGUAGGCGGGCAAUUAAGUCAGAGGUGAAAUCCCACAGCUCAACUGUGGAACUGCCUUUGAUACUGGUUGUCUUGGGUUAUAGUGAAGUAGAUAGAAUAUGUAGUGUAGCGGUGAAAUGCAUAGAUAUUACAUAGAAUACCGAUUGCGAAGGCAGUCUACUAACUGUAUACUGACGCUAAUGGACGAAAGCGUGGGGAGCGAACAGGAUUAGAUACACUGGUAGUCC